UACGUAGGGUGCGAGCGUUAAUCGGAAUUACUGGGCGUAAAGCGUGCGCAGGCGGUUUUUGUAAGACCAAUGUGAAAUCCCCGGGCGUUAACCUGGGAACUGCAUAGGUGACUGCAAGGCUAGAGUGUGGCAGAGGGGGGUGGAAUUCCACGUGUAGCAGUGAAAUGCGUAGAUAUGUGGAGGAACACCGAUGGCGAAGGCAGCCCCUGGGUUAACACUGACGCUCAGGCACGAAAGCGUGGGGAGCAAACAGGAUUAGAUACCCUUGUAGU
RNAcentral lists this ribosomal RNA (272 nucleotides) under uncultured bacterium. RNAcentral describes it as "partial 16S ribosomal RNA". It matches the Rfam family "Bacterial small subunit ribosomal RNA", at positions 524 to 794 of the family's 1533-position model. The record is from RNAcentral.